RNAcentral lists this ribosomal RNA (465 nucleotides) under uncultured bacterium. RNAcentral describes it as "partial 16S ribosomal RNA". It matches the Rfam family "Bacterial small subunit ribosomal RNA", at positions 338 to 795 of the family's 1533-position model. The record is from RNAcentral.
CCUACGGGCGGCAGCAGUAGGGAAUUUUCCACAAUGGGCGAAAGCCUGAUGGAGCAACGCCGCGUGGGUGAAGAAGGUCUUCGGAUCGUAAAACCCUGUUGUUAGAGAAGAAAGUGCGUGAGAGUAACUGUUCACGUUUCGACGGUAUCUAACCAGCAAGCCACGGCUAACUACGUGCCAGCAGCCGCGGUCAUACGUAGGUGGCAAGCGUUAUCCGGAUUUAUUGGGCGUAAAGGGAACGCAGGCGGUCUUUUAAGGCUGAUGGGAAAGCCUUCGGCUUAACCGGAGUAGUGCAUUGGAAACUGGGAGACUUGAGUGCAGAAGAGGAGAGUGGAACUCCAUGUGUAGCGGUGAAAUGCGUAGAUAUAUGGAAGAACACCAGUGGCGAAAGCGGCUCUCUGGUCUGUAACUGACGCUGAGGUUCGAAAGCGUGGGUAGCAAACAGGAUUAGAUACCCUUGUAGUC